Molecule: ribosomal RNA, 446 nt
Filed under: uncultured organism
Description: partial 16S ribosomal RNA
Rfam family: Bacterial small subunit ribosomal RNA
Source: RNAcentral
UACACUCCUGCGGGAGGCAGCAGAGGGGAAUAUUGGCCAAUGGGCGCAAGCCUGAUCCAGCCAUGCCGCGUGAGUGAUGAAGGCCCUAGGGUUGUAAAGCUCUUUCACCGGUGAAGAUAAUGACGGUAACCGGAGAAGAAGCCCCGGCUAACUUCGUGCCAGCAGCCGCGGUAAUACGAAGGGGGCUAGCGUUGUUCGGAUUUACUGGGCGUAAAGCGCACGUAGGCGGACUAUUAAGUCAGGGGUGAAAUCCCGGGGCUCAACCCCGGAACUGCCUUUGAUACUGGUAGUCUUGAGUUCGAGAGAGGUGAGUGGAAUUCCGAGUGUAGAGGUGAAAUUCGUAGAUAUUCGGAGGAACACCAGUGGCGAAGGCGGCUCACUGGCUCGAUACUGACGCUGAGGUGCGAAAGCGUGGGGAGCAAACAGGAUUAGAAACCUGUAGUCCC